Molecule: ribosomal RNA, 1509 nt
Filed under: Heleioporus australiacus (giant burrowing frog)
Lineage: Eukaryota; Metazoa; Chordata; Amphibia; Anura; Limnodynastidae
Description: partial 16S ribosomal RNA
Rfam family: Bacterial large subunit ribosomal RNA
Source: RNAcentral
UAAGUAUACCGGAAGGUGUGCUUGGAACCGAAAUGUAGUAUAAUAAUACUCCUUGCUUACACCAAGGCGAUACUCGUGAAACCCAAGUCAUUUCGAGCCAAAAAUCUUAGCCCAACCUAACAACUUAGUUAAAUACUAUAUAACCAUAAACCCCCUAAAACAUUUUUACAGUUUAGUAUAGGCGAUCAAAAAACUUCUAGGAGCUACCAGUACCGCAAGGGAAAAGUGAAAUAGUAAUGAAACAAUACUUAAGCAUAAAAAAGUAGAGACCUAGCCUCGUACCUUUUGCAUCAUGGUCUAACAAGUCUUCCCAAGCAAAAUGAUUUACAGUUUGACCCCCCGAAACUAAGCGAGCUACUUCAAGGCAGCUUUUAGAGCCCACCCGUCUCUGUGGCAAAAGAGUGGGAAGACCUUCAAGUAGCGGUGACAGACCUAACGAGCUUAGUGAUAGCUGGUUGCUUAAAAAAUGGAUCUCAGUCCACCCUUAAAUUGCCUUAACACUCCAUAGUUUCUUUAAAAUUUAAGAGCCAUUCAAAUAAGGUACAGCUUAUUUGAACCAGGAUACAACCUCAACUACAGGGUAAUACAUUUUUCACCGUGCAUAAGUAGGCCUAAAAGCAGCCACCUAAAUAAAAGCGUCACAGCUUAAACACACUACAACCUCAAUUCCAAAAUACUCAUAAAACCCUUUAACAAUAUUAAGCAAUUCUAUAGUUGUAUAGAAAAACUUAUGUUAGAACUAGUAACAAGAAAUCAACCUUCUCUUAUGUACUCGUGUAAAUCAGAGCGGACCCCCCACUGAUAAUUAACGUCUCUGAAUUUACAGUAGUAACCCCACCCAAGAAAACACUACCAAAAUAAACGUUAAUCUAACACCAGAGUACCCCAAGAAAGAUUUAAAGAAAAGGAAGGAACUCGGCAAAUUUUAACCUCGCCUGUUUACCAAAAACAUCGCCUCUUGAUUUAUAUAAGAGGUCCAGCCUGCCCAGUGACUCUGUUCAACGGCCGCGGUAUCCUGACCGUGCGAAGGUAGCGUAAUCACUUGUUCUUUAAAUAAGGACUAGUAUGAACGGCCCCACGAGGGUUAUACUGUCUCCCUUUUUUAAUCAGUGAAACUAAUCUCCCCGUGAAGAAGCGGGGAUAUUUUUAUAAGACGAGAAGACCCCAUGGAGCUUUAGACAAACAGCAUGUGUUAACUACACUUUACCCCACCCCCAAGUCAAACACUUUGACUGCUAGUUUUCAGUUGGGGCGACUGCGGAGAACAAAAAAUCCUCCGCGCUGAAAGAACCAUUAUUCUUAACUUAAAGCCACACCUUAAAGUACUAAUAACUUGACACCUAUUGACCCAAUAAAAUUGAUCAACGAACCUAGUUACCCUGGGGAUAACAGCGCAAUCCAUUUCAAGAGCCCCUAUCGACAAAUGGGUUUACGACCUCGAUGUUGGAUCAGGGUGUCCAAGUGGUGCAGCCGCUACUAAAGGUUCGUUUGUUCAACGAUUAAAACCCU